GAUGAACGCUGGCGGCGUGCCUAAUACAUGCAAGUCGAGCGAACAGACGAGAAGCUUGCUCCUCUGAUGUUAGCGGCGGACGGGUGAGUAACACGUGGAUAACCUACCUAUAAGACUGGGAUAACUUCGGGAAACCGGAGCUAAUACCGGAUAAUAUAUUGAACCGCAUGGUUCAAUAGUGAAAGACGGUUUUGCUGUCACUUAUAGAUGGAUCCGCGCUGCAUUAGCUAGUUGGUAAGGUAACGGCUUACCAAGGCAACGAUGCGUAGCCGACCUGAGAGGGUGAUCGGCCACACUGGAACUGAGACACGGUCCAGACUCCUACGGGAGGCAGCAGUAGGGAAUCUUCCGCAAUGGGCGAAAGCCUGACGGAGCAACGCCGCGUGAGUGAUGAAGGUCUUCGGAUCGUAAAACUCUGUUAUUAGGGAAGAACAAAUGUGUAAGUAACUGUGCACGUCUUGACGGUACCUAAUCAGAAAGCCACGGCUAACUACGUG
Molecule: ribosomal RNA, 497 nt
Filed under: uncultured bacterium
Lineage: Bacteria
Description: partial 16S ribosomal RNA
Rfam family: Bacterial small subunit ribosomal RNA
Source: RNAcentral